GACGAACGCUGGCGGCGUGCUUAACACAUGCAAGUCGAACGAAGUGGCGAACGGGUGAGUAACGCGGAAUCAACCUGCCCUUCAGUGGGGUACAACAGUUAGAAACGACUGCUAAUACCGCAUACUGAAGGAGGGGAUGGCGUCUGAUUGGCUAGUUGGGGGGGUAACGGCCCACCAAGGCGAUGACCGGUAGCAGGGCUGAGAGGAUGAACGGCCAGAGUGGGACUGAGACAAGGCCCAUACUCCUCCGGGUGGCAGCAGUGGGGAAUCUUCCGCAAUGGACGAAAGUCUGACGGAGCAACGCCGCGUGCGUGAUGACGGCCGUCGGGUUGUAAAGCUCUGUUAAUCGGGACGCGGUACCGGAAUAGAAAGCCACGGCUAACUACGUGCCAGCAGCCGCGGUAAUUC
RNAcentral lists this ribosomal RNA (408 nucleotides) under uncultured bacterium. RNAcentral describes it as "partial 16S ribosomal RNA". It matches the Rfam family "Bacterial small subunit ribosomal RNA", at positions 28 to 526 of the family's 1533-position model. The record is from RNAcentral.